UCAGGGAGUUUGAGGAUAGACACAGGGUCAGUGUUCAGUACCAAAUUUACCAUUUGCAUGGAUACUGGAGUAUUUUAGGUAGAUGUGACCAUGUAGGCAGGGAUACUGGAGUAUUUUAGGUAGAUGUGAUCAUGGAGGCAGGGAUACUGGAGUAUUUUAGGUAGAUGUGACCAUGUAGGCAGGGAUACUGGAGUAUUUUAGGUAGAUGUGAUCAUGUAGGCAGGGAUACUGGAGUAUUUUAGGUAGAUGUGACCAUGUAGGCAGGGAUACUGGAGUAUUUUAGGUAGAUGUGACCAUGGAGGCAGGGAUACUAGAGUAUUUUAGGUAGAGAUGUGACCAUGCAGGCAGGGAUACUGGAGUAUUUUAGGUAGAGAUGUGACCAUGCAGGCAGGGAUACUGGAGUAUUUUAGGUAGAGAUGUGUACAUGCAGGCAGGUAUUAGGAGAAAGCGAUGCGUAACAGGACAAAUAUUAAUAAUACGUGUGGGAACUUUGAAGAAUCUUUAAUAUUAAAUUAAAUAUAAAACACU
Oncorhynchus tshawytscha (Chinook salmon) is the source of this 528-nucleotide long non-coding RNA. The record is from Ensembl. Lineage: Eukaryota; Metazoa; Chordata; Actinopteri; Salmoniformes; Salmonidae.